This 465-nucleotide ribosomal RNA is filed under the name Vreelandella stevensii. RNAcentral describes it as "partial 16S ribosomal RNA". It matches the Rfam family "Bacterial small subunit ribosomal RNA", at positions 338 to 795 of the family's 1533-position model. The record is from RNAcentral. Lineage: Bacteria; Pseudomonadati; Pseudomonadota; Gammaproteobacteria; Oceanospirillales; Halomonadaceae.
CCUACGGGGUGCUGCAGUGGGGAAUAUUGGACAAUGGGCGAAAGCCUGAUCCAGCCAUGCCGCGUGUGUGAAGAAGGCCUUCGGGUUGUAAAGCACUUUCAGUGGGGAAGAAAGCCUUGGGGCUAAUACCCUCGAGGAAGGACAUCACCCACAGAAGAAGCACCGGCUAACUCCGUGCCAGCAGCCGCGGUAAUACGGAGGGUGCGAGCGUUAAUCGGAAUUACUGGGCGUAAAGCGCGCGUAGGCGGUCUGAUAAGCCGGUUGUGAAAGCCCCGGGCUCAACCUGGGAACGGCAUCCGGAACUGUCAGGCUAGAGUGCAGGAGAGGAAGGUAGAAUUCCCGGUGUAGCGGUGAAAUGCGUAGAGAUCGGGAGGAAUACCAGUGGCGAAGGCGGCCUUCUGGACUGACACUGACGCCGAGGUGCGAAAGCGUGGGUAGCAAACAGGAUUAGAUACCCCAGUAGUC